Molecule: non-coding RNA, 100 nt
Filed under: Bacillus sp. (in: firmicutes)
Lineage: Bacteria; Bacillati; Bacillota; Bacilli; Caryophanales; Bacillaceae
Description: Bacillus sp. Guanine sequence
Rfam family: Purine riboswitch aptamer
About the family: Riboswitches are metabolite binding domains within certain messenger RNAs that serve as precision sensors for their corresponding targets. Allosteric rearrangement of mRNA structure is mediated by ligand binding, and this results in modulation of gene expression. A class of riboswitches that selectively recognises guanine and becomes saturated at concentrations as low as 5 nM.
Source: RNAcentral
AAUAACUUAUUUAGUUUCAUUCGUAUAUUCUUAGAGAUAUGGUCUAAGAGUUUCUACUAGGAGCCGUGAAAUCCUAACUACGAAUGGGUGGAUUCACUCU